Panicum virgatum (switchgrass) is the source of this 955-nucleotide long non-coding RNA. RefSeq lists it as uncharacterized. The transcript has 4 exons. The record is from RefSeq and is a predicted model, not a curated record. Lineage: Eukaryota; Viridiplantae; Streptophyta; Magnoliopsida; Poales; Poaceae.
UCUCUCUCUCUCUCUCAGAAAACCUAGAUCGGGCUGGAUUGGUGGUGGAGACAUGGCCUCCGGCGGCUAGGCAGGCGGCCCUGCUAGCGCCGCAGUGGGGCGCGUAGUCCCCUCGUGCGCGGUGGCUUGGGAUGCGGUGCCCAGGGGCGCAGCGGCCGGGGGCGCGACGGCCGGAGGCGUGGCGGCCGGGGGCACGGCGGCAGCCACACCGCCCAGGAGCGCGGCGGCAAGAGGUGCGCCGCUCGUGGGCGUGGCGGGCAGGGGCACGCCGGCCAGAGGUGCGGUAGCGCAGGGCCCCACUGGCCCAGGGGCGCACUCGCCGUUGGCUUCGGGUGAUGCGGCAGCAGGCGCUGAGGGCAAGGACGCCAUGGCCGUGAGAGUCGUUGGCUCGUUGCAUCUGCAGAACGACAAGCGCAGUACAUCAAUGAAGAAUCGCUUCAUAGGUGCAAUGUGAAUGAUUCAAGCUGUUAUUCCUCAUAUGAUGGAAACAAGGGAAAGUACAACUGCCAAUGUUGAAAGUAUUACUGCAUUGGCACCGGGAUCUUGGCCUGGUGUGUAUUCAACGUCAAAAGCUGCUCUUCAUGCAUUGAGUGAUUCACAAAGUAAUUGACUAUGUAGCUAGAGGGGUUCAAUAGAUUGCUGCGUAUGUGUUGGUUGAGGAUCAGAUGUAAAAAGGAACCAACAGUUAGAAGAGAUCAGUUGAUGAUCCGAUGCAUCUAUUAACAAGCAGUUAGAAGAGAUAGGAAAUUUGAAGAAGGCAACAGAGGAGACUGAUGGUUUUGGUCUAUCUAUAACUAGUGUCCUUCACCUUGGUUAUAAAUGGCUGUAAUCUCUUCUUUGGGUGUGAAUUGUAACUUAUCUCUUCAGGAUGAUGUGUCUGGUAACUUGUAAACGUUUUGAUGGUAAUUAAAAAUGAUCUAUGCCAAUGAAAAUAGGCCUGGAAAAAUUGCUUGCG